Molecule: ribosomal RNA, 815 nt
Filed under: Fumontana deprehendor
Lineage: Eukaryota; Metazoa; Arthropoda; Arachnida; Opiliones; Triaenonychidae
Description: eukaryotic LSU rRNA
Rfam family: Eukaryotic large subunit ribosomal RNA (bases 500-815)
Source: RNAcentral
ACCGUUCGGAGGUAACGAGUGGGCCCUCGAAGGAAGAAGGCGGGGGGACUCAGCCGAGAGCCCCGGCCCCGCCCCCGUCCCAGUUUCCCGCGAGGGACGGGACGCGGGGUGCGUGCGCCGCGGCCCUCGGCGCAUUUCCUCUCGUCCUCCGACGCUGCGACCGAUCGCGCGCGCCAAGAGCAGUCGGCCUUACUCGCGGGGGAACGCGGGUGGCCGGGGAAGAGCGCUCGCUCCCUCCCGGUGUCUGGCACCCCCGCAGUCGCGGCCGUUCGCGCGAUCGAAGGACCCGGCCCCUCGGGGCCCUCGCCUUUCCCUCCGCUCCCAAAAGAGGCGGAGCGCUUCCCUCUCCCGGAAGGGAUUGCCGGCGUCACGGGACGGUCGACCGUAAGGUGUCCGUCCCGCGUCGGCGCCCGCUCGCCGUCGGARAGUCGCGUUUCAGGGGAGAUGGCGGUCCGCAGCGAGUAGGUCGGUCACCCACUCGACCCGUCUUGAAACACGGACCAAGGAGUUUAACACGUGCGCGAGUCGUCGGGUCUUGGACAGGCCAGAGGGCGCAAUGAAAGUGAAGGGCGGCUCCCGCCGUCCGCGUAGGGAUCGGGGGUCGUUACGGCCUCCGCGCACCUACGGCUCGUCCGGGCCGCCUCGUCGGCCGGGCGAAGCAGGAGCGCACGCGUUGAGACCCGAAAGAUGGUGAACUAUGGCUGGGCAGGACGAAGCCAGAGGAAACUCUGGUGGAGGUCCGCAGCGGUUCUGACGUGCAAAUCGAUCGUCAGACCUGGCUAUAGGGGCGAAAGACUAAUCGAACCAUCUAGUAG